RNAcentral lists this long non-coding RNA (2674 nucleotides) under Homo sapiens (human). RNAcentral's name for it is "HSALNT0001554". Lineage: Eukaryota; Metazoa; Chordata; Mammalia; Primates; Hominidae. The record is from RNAcentral.
CUGUGGACAGCUUAAGUGUUAACAGCUCAGUGGAGGGUCAGUGUGACAGGCUUUUGUACCCGCACUUGUGGUACCCAAGUUCUUGUCCAGUGUCCAGGAGGAAUGAGGUAGCACAAAUGAAUUGAAGAUGGUAAAUGCAUGGAAAUUUAUUGCCAAUGAAAGUGACUCUCAGUGGGAAGAGGAGCUGAAAGGAGGAUGGAGCAAGAAGGUAAUCUUCCCCUGAAGUCCAGCCGUCCCUGGCUGGACUCCUCUUCAAAGCUACACCAUGAAGCUGUCCCUCUGAAGUCAAGCCACUUAUUUCUGCCGUCCAACCGUAGUCUCCAAUAUCCAGCUGCUUCUCCACUCUCUGCUGGAGUGCAGUGGGGUAAUCACAGCUCACUACGCCUCCAGAUCCCAGGCUCAAGCAAUCUUCUCACCUCAGCCUCCCAAGUAGCUCAGACUACAUGCACAAGCUACCAUGCCUGGCUAAUUUAAUUUAAUUUAAUUUAAUUUAUUUAUUUAUUUAUUUUGAGACGGAGUCUUGCUCUGUCACCCAGGCUGUAGUGCAGUGGCACAAUCUCGGCUCACUGAAAGCUCUGCCUCCUGGGUUCACGCCAUUCUCCUACCUCAGCCUCCCAAGUAGCUGGGACUAUAGGCACCCGCCACCUACGCCCGGAUAAUUUUUUGUAUUUUUAGUGAGACGGGGUUCCACUGUGUUAGCCAGGAUGGUCUUGAUCUCCUGACCUUGUGAUCUGCCCUCCUCGGCCUCCCAAAGUGCUGGAAUUACAGGCGUGAGCCACUGCGCCCUGCUGCCUGGCUAAUUUUUAAAAAAAUUUUUGUAGACACAGGGUCUCACUCUGUUGCUCAUGCUGGGCUCAAGUGCUCCUCCUGUCUUGGCCUCCAAAGUGCUGGGAUUACAGGUGUGAGCCACCGCACUGGACUUAGUACACUUGUUUUGUUUUUGUUUGUUGAGAGGGAGUUUUUGCUCUUGUUGCCCAGGCUGGAAUGCAGUGUCAUGAUCAGGGCUCACUGCAACCUCUGCCUCCUGGGUUCAAGCAAUUCUCCUGCCUCAGCCUCCCAAGUAGCUGGAAUUACAGGUGCCCGCCACCACGCCCGUAUAAUUUUUUGUAUUUUUAGUAGAGACAGGGUUUCACCAUGUUGGCCAGGCUGGUCUUGAACUCCUGACCUCAGGUGAUCCACCCACCUUGGCCUCCCAAAGUGCUGGGAUUACAGGUGUGAGCCACUGUGCCCAGGCUGAGCCACCAUGCCCAGCCCUGUUUUGUUUUUUGAGACAGGGUCUGGCUCUGUCACCCAGGCUGGAGUGCAAUGGCGCAAUCUCAGCUCACUGUAACCUCCGCCUCCUGUGCUCAAACCAUCCUCUCACCUCAGCCUCCUGAGUAGCUGGGACUACAGGCGCACACCACCACACCCAGCUAAUUUUUGUAUUUUUGGUAGAGACAGGGUUUUGCCAUGUUGCCCAGGCUAGUCUAGAAUUCCUGGGCUCAAACAAUCUGCUGCCUCUGAUUCCCAAAUUUCUAAGAUUACAGGCAUGAGCCGCUGUGCCCAGCCAGUACAUGUUUUUUGUUUAUUUGUUUGUUUUUCUAAAGAUAGGAUCUUGCUAUGUUACGCGGGCUGUUCUUGAACUCCUGGGCUCAAGCAAUCCUUCCACCUUGGCCUUCCAAAGUGCUGGGAUUACAGAUGUGAGCCACCAAGCCUGGCUGAGCCACCACGCCGGCGCUAGCUGAUAUACUUGUAUUAAUGUACAAAUUGGACUCUAGCAUUCCUCACACUGAAGUAUUUAUGGGUAAAAUUACACAUUUGGGAUUUGCUUUAAAAGACUCCAGCAAAACAAAACAGGUGUAGAUGAAGAUUGGCAAAAUGUUAUGCUUGAAGUUAAUGGGUACGUAGGGGCUCAUUAUACUAUUACCACUAAUUUUGUGUGUUUGCUAUUUUCCCUAAUGUUUUACAAUGUAAUUGUCAGGUUAUCCAUUGUUUUGGAAAAAUUUAUUGGGCGGCUUAACUUGAUUUGGGAAAUACUGUCCACGGCAAGUCAUUUAGACUUGGUAAGACACGUGAGGGAGAAAUGGAUCUGAAUUCCAGUUCUGAAACCGAGGUGACAGUUUCAUUAAAGGAUAGCAAGGGGACAGUGAUCAUCCCUGCAGAGUCAAAACAGAGAAUAAUGGGACCAGGCACCACUAUGACAGGUCAAAAACCCUAUCUGGGCAGAGCGUGAUGGCUCACACCUGUAAUUCCAGCACUUUGGGAGGCCAAGGUGGGCGGAUCAUUUGAGGCCAGCUUUGCCAUCACGGUGAAACCCUGUCUCUACUGAAUAUACAAAAAUUAGCCAGGCGUGGUAACACACGCCUGUAAUCCCAGCUCCUUGGGAGGCUGAAGCAGGAGAAUUGCUUGAACCCAGGAGGCAGAGGUUGCAGUGAGCCGAGACUGUGCCACUGCACUCCAGCCUGGGUGACACAGCAAAACUGUCUCAGAAGCAAACACACACACACAUACACACACACACAAACACAAAAGUUAAUUAUGGCCCAUAUCACCUUCUCCCUCGGAUUCCACUGUUCUAGUUCCAAGGAAUUGCUAACACUGGGCAAGUUCAGCCUAGUCCUUCCGUGAGGACUGAAUACGUCGGACUCAUCUCCAUCAGACUACCACAAACUGUUGUUGAAAGCUUUAUUUGUCC